UUGCGCGGCGUGAUUGUCGGCGAGUCAGGUUAAAUUCUUAAAUAGGUCGCGCCUGCGCCUAAUUGAGUCUAUAAAAGCCUGCACAUUCAGUUUUGCUAGCUACAAUGCAGUGCGGCUGGCGUGAGCUGUCUCCACGAUGCGCUUCGAGCGUGUCGAUUUCGCCGUUCUUUAUGUUGGCGUUAACGACCUUGAAAGCAACAUGGAUCCACAAGAAAUGUGCGACAACAUCAAGGCCUUGAUUGUUCAACGAGACGGCCCCCGUCGUGCUGGUUUUCAAGGUGCUCCCUCGCUGCCUAGAAGAUGCUGAUGCGGAAUAGAAAAUGCAAAAACGUCGCUUGCUCAACCGCAAAUUGACGGCUACGCUGAAGCGCAUGCCGUGUCUGCGGAAUUUGAACCCCGAGCUUUCCAGAGUUCCUUGGAAAAUCUUCCCAUGCACCUGCCAUGUACAUUGCCCUCCUCCUCGAUGUGGCGUGCAAGAUGGCAGCAGCAGCUGUGGGAACAGUUGAAGAGGCAAAGAAAGGUCCACUUUAUAAUAGGUUGUAUGUAAAUAAAACUGAUCGACCUCAACAGAUUCGGCUUCCACUUUUGUCAAGACAAUUGUCAGCAAAGCAAUGGAGCAAUUUCAGUAGGGCGAUAGUAAUAAAUAGUGCAUAGAAA
RNAcentral lists this long non-coding RNA (657 nucleotides) under Dermacentor andersoni. RNAcentral's name for it is "uncharacterized LOC126529568". Lineage: Eukaryota; Metazoa; Arthropoda; Arachnida; Ixodida; Ixodidae. The record is from RNAcentral.